RNAcentral lists this ribosomal RNA (493 nucleotides) under uncultured Clostridiaceae bacterium. RNAcentral's name for it is "partial 16S ribosomal RNA". Lineage: Bacteria; Bacillati; Bacillota; Clostridia; Eubacteriales; Clostridiaceae. The record is from RNAcentral.
CACGUAGUUAGCCGUGGCUUCCUCCUCAGGUACCGUCAUCAUCGUCCCUGAAGACAGAGCUUUACAACCCGAAGGCCGUCAUCACUCACGCGGCGUUGCCGCAUCAGGGUUUCCCCCAUUGUGCAAUAUUCCCCACUGCUGCCUCCCGUAGGAGUCUGGGCCGUGUCUCAGUCCCAAUGUGGCCGAUCACCCUCUCAGGUCGGCUACGCAUCGUCGCCUUGGUGAGCCGUUACCUCACCAACUAGCUAAUGCGCCGCGGGCCCAUCUCAUAGCGGAUUGCUCCUUUAAUGCUACUUCAUGCGAAGCUACAAUCUUAUGCGGUAUUAAUCUCCUUCGGAAGGCUAUUCCCUCUAUGAGGCAGGUUGCCCACGUGUUACCUCACCCAUCCCGCCGUCUACGUCUUUGUUCCGAAGUAACUCCACUCGCUCGACUUGCUAUGUGUUAGGCACCGCCGCCAGUCCGUUCGUCCUGAGCCAGGACUCGAAACCUCUAC